Molecule: long non-coding RNA, 468 nt
Filed under: Prunus persica (peach)
Lineage: Eukaryota; Viridiplantae; Streptophyta; Magnoliopsida; Rosales; Rosaceae
Description: long non-coding RNA (PPER_LNC003671)
Source: RNAcentral
CAGACUCAAUACGUCUAUAAACCCAGCUCAAAAGCUUGAAACAGCCUUCCUUUUCCAUUCUCUGAAUUUCCCAGUUAACAACUCCUGAGGAAUUUUCUUUAUCUUGCUCUACCAACUCUUGGUAUGAUAUUUCCUUAUACAAGAUUGAAUAGAGAAAUCUUCAAUCUCCAUUUUAAUUUUAUGUACCAGGUCUGAAUAGAGAAAUCCUCAGGCUGUGUUGUUUAUGUACUUCCUUUCUCUUUCAAGUUUUCUGAAUAGAUAAAUAUUCCGAUAAACUUCUGUCAUUUCCAUUGUCGUUCUCUGUCAGUUACCAUUUUCGUGCUAGAUGAAUAUUGAAGUCCUCUUAAUUGAGGCAUAGAAAAGAACCUUGUAUUGGGUCAGUUCCCCUCCCAAUCCACAAUCGAUUGAUUAAAGUCAAUAUCGGUGCGCAUUUUCCAGUCUUAACAUUUUCAAUCUGUUGGAGUUUUU